UAUGAGAAAAGGGGGGAGGUAAGUCGUUUGAUACUAAAUUUCUAGGGAAUAAGAAAUAUAAUUUAUUAAUUUUAUUUCACAUAACUUUAAUUUGAACAUAAAGAUAACAUGUAAAGAAAUUUAAAAUAGUUGAUUAUCAACAAUGAUCGCGAUUUCUUUCUUUCAUAUUUUCGCGGGAUUUGAACAGGAAGUUAGAUUGCCCAUGCGCAUUAUUCAAACACGCACCUUUCCUGUAUUUGAAAAAGAACAACAAAGGACGAAGUCGAAAGAGAAACUUCCCGUUUAUCACGUAUAUUUAUGAAGCUUGUCAAACAGAUCAAUGACUAAAAGGCAUCAAGUGGAGCAAAAUUAAAAUUCGGUAUUGGGAAUUCCAGUCUUUAAAAUCAUCAAAGAGUUUAGAUAUACUGCAAGAGUAAAAAGAUGUCACUUGGAAAUACAUAUCUGAAGACCUCUCCUGCUUAAAAUUUACCGCUGAAAGAUCCUGAGGUGGUGGAAGAAUGAUGACAUGCAAUCAGGACAAAAAGAGACAAAUAUAACAAAUGAAUUUAUAAAAUAAAUCUUGUAUCAAAAGAAAUAUCAUUGUAUUACUAUUUUUGAUAUAAUUGUUCCUGAGUAAAUAAGUAUUAAUGUAAAGGUUUAUGAGGG
Molecule: long non-coding RNA, 645 nt
Organism: Mytilus trossulus (common blue mussel)
Lineage: Eukaryota; Metazoa; Mollusca; Bivalvia; Mytilida; Mytilidae
Exons: 3
Source: RefSeq, a predicted model, not a curated record